CCUACGGGAGGCAGCAGUGGGGAAUAUUGGACAAUGGGGGGAACCCUGAUCCAGCGACGCCGCGUGAGUGAAGAAGUAUUUCGGUAUGUAAAGCUCUAUCAGCAGGGAAGAAAGAAAUGACGGUACCUGACUAAGAAGCCCCGGCUAACUACGGGCCAGCAGCCGCGGUAAUACGUAGGGGGCAAGCGUUAUCCGGAUUUACUGGGUGUAAAGGGAGCGUAGACGGCGAUGCAAGUCUGAAGUGAAAGGCGGGGGCCCAACCCCCGGACUGCUUUGGAAACUGGAUGGCUGGAGUGCAGGGGAGGUAAGUGGAAUUCCUAGUGUAGCGGUGAAAUGCGUAGAUAUUAGGAGGAACACCAGUGGCGAAGGCGGCUUACUGGACUGUAACUGACGUUGAGGCUCGAAAGCGUGGGGAGCAAACAGGAUUAGAUACCCGGGUAGUC
This 443-nucleotide ribosomal RNA is filed under the name uncultured bacterium. Its description in RNAcentral is "partial 16S ribosomal RNA". It matches the Rfam family "Bacterial small subunit ribosomal RNA", at positions 338 to 795 of the family's 1533-position model. The record is from RNAcentral.